Molecule: ribosomal RNA, 301 nt
Filed under: uncultured bacterium
Lineage: Bacteria
Description: partial 16S ribosomal RNA
Rfam family: Bacterial small subunit ribosomal RNA
Source: RNAcentral
CAGCAGCCGCGGUAAUACGUAGGGUGCAAGCGUUAAUCGGAAUUACUGGGCGUAAAGCGUGCGCAGGCGGUUUGUUAAGACAGAUGUGAAAUCCCCGGGCUCAACCUGGGAACUGCAUUUGUGACUGGCAAGCUAGAGUGUGGCAGAGGGGGGUGGAAUUCCGCGUGUAGCAGUGAAAUGCGUAGAGAUGUGGAGGAACACCGAUGGCGAAGGCAGCCCCCUGGGCCAAUACUGACGCUCAUGCACGAAAGCGUGGGGAGCAAACAGGAUUAGAUACCCCAGUAGUCCCUGUCUCUUAUAC